This 614-nucleotide ribosomal RNA is filed under the name Leuconostoc lactis. RNAcentral's name for it is "bacterial SSU rRNA". It matches the Rfam family "Bacterial small subunit ribosomal RNA", at positions 78 to 678 of the family's 1533-position model. Lineage: Bacteria; Bacillati; Bacillota; Bacilli; Lactobacillales; Lactobacillaceae. The record is from RNAcentral.
GCUUGCACCUUUCAAGCGAGUGGCGAACGGGUGAGUAACACGUGGAUAACCUGCCUCAAGGCUGGGGAUAACAUUUGGAAACAGAUGCUAAUACCGAAUAAAACUUAGUAUCGCAUGAUACAAAGUUGAAAGGCGCUACGGCGUCACCUAGAGAUGGGUCCGCGGUGCAUUAGUUAGUUGGUGGGGUAAAGGCCUACCAAGACAAUGAUGCAUAGCCGAGUUGAGAGACUGAUCGGCCACAUUGGGACUGAGACACGGCCCAAACUCCUACGGGAGGCUGCAGUAGGGAAUCUUCCACAAUGGGCGAAAGCCUGAUGGAGCAACGCCGCGUGUGUGAUGAAGGCUUUAGGGUCGUAAAGCACUGUUGUAUGGGAAGAAAUGCUAGAAUAGGGAAUGAUUCUAGUUCGACGGUACCAUACCAGAAAGGGACGGCUAAAUACGUGCCAGCAGCCGCGGUAAUACGUAUGUCCCGAGCGUUAUCCGGAUUUAUUGGGCGUAAAGCGAGCGCAGACGGUUGAUUAAGUCUGAUGUGAAAGCCCGGAGCUCAACUCCGGAAUGGCAUUGGAAACUGGUUAACUUGAGUGUUGUAGAGGUAAGUGGAACUCCAUGGGUAG